Molecule: non-coding RNA, 58 nt
Organism: Salmo salar (Atlantic salmon)
Lineage: Eukaryota; Metazoa; Chordata; Actinopteri; Salmoniformes; Salmonidae
Source: Rfam
UAGCUCAGUUGGUAGAGCAUGGUGUUUGCAACGCCAGGGUCGUGGGUUCGAUUCCCAC